RNAcentral lists this transfer RNA (89 nucleotides) under Rhodothermales bacterium. RNAcentral describes it as "tRNA-Ser". It matches the Rfam family "tRNA". Rfam says of the family: Transfer RNA (tRNA) molecules are approximately 80 nucleotides in length. Their secondary structure includes four short double-helical elements and three loops (D, anti-codon, and T loops). Further hydrogen bonds mediate the characteristic L-shaped molecular structure. tRNAs have two regions of fundamental functional importance: the anti-codon, which is responsible for specific mRNA codon recognition, and the 3' end, to which the tRNAs corresponding amino acid is attached (by aminoacyl-tRNA synthetases). tRNAs cope with the degeneracy of the genetic code in two manners: having more than one tRNA (with a specific anti-codon) for a particular amino acid; and 'wobble' base-pairing, i.e. permitting non-standard base-pairing at the 3rd anti-codon position. The record is from RNAcentral. Lineage: Bacteria; Pseudomonadati; Rhodothermota; Rhodothermia; Rhodothermales.
GGAGAGGUGGGUGAGUGGCUGAAACCACCGGUUUGCUAAACCGGCGUACGUAGCAAUACGUACCGGGGGUUCGAAUCCCCCCCUCUCCG